This 345-nucleotide long non-coding RNA is filed under the name Ictidomys tridecemlineatus (thirteen-lined ground squirrel). RNAcentral's name for it is "lncRNA (ENSSTOG00000031393.1)". Lineage: Eukaryota; Metazoa; Chordata; Mammalia; Rodentia; Sciuridae. The record is from RNAcentral.
AUAGUCUGCUUUUAAGCAGGACUCCUGAAGGAUAUCUUUCUUUGUACUAUAGUAUCGGGAGAAACAAUGGAAGUGAAAUAUAAUCUGAAUGAUGACAGCGCAAAUCACAGAAGGUUAGAACUGGGAUAGGAAGAUAAUGAUGUUGCUUGAGAGGCAGUAUGGAGAAACGAAAACUGCCUUACUCUCAAGGAAUCCAGGAAAACCUCCUCAAGGAGAUGACUUUUGAAAUGUCUCUGAACCUCGCUUCCAUCAAAUGCAAAAAUCCUACUACUAUAUUACGAAUUGCUUCAAUCCUGAUGGGGCUACUGGGACCAUGGUUGUCUAUACAAUAACAUGAACCAGGCA